Molecule: long non-coding RNA, 1109 nt
Filed under: Carassius auratus (goldfish)
Lineage: Eukaryota; Metazoa; Chordata; Actinopteri; Cypriniformes; Cyprinidae
Description: lncRNA (ENSCARG00000008648.1)
Source: RNAcentral
AUGAGGUUCCGUGUUAUCUUUGACUUGGCACCCCCUUUCCGGGGAUUCCAUCGGAGACCUCCAGCCACAGUUGUCGUGAGUUUAGCUGUAGAGGUUUGCAUCUCGUUGAGUAUCCUGUAUAGGAUGAAGGAUGAAGGUCACGCCAAGAGUCAGGGUGUGACCAAUGACAGUGGAGAUGCACCGUGCAGUGUCGGCAGCAGUUCAGGCUCGGACCGCAGAUGACGGGUUCAGACCGGGCUGUCGAGACAGUGCUUGUAGGGCUGUGUCGACGGGAGUAAUGUCAAUGUGUUGGGUGGUUGGUCAAGUACUGACGGGUGGCGGUGUCAUGCUGGUCGUAGGUCAGUGUAGCUGAGCGCACAGGAGUGUUGACGGGCCAUCUGUUGCCCACAACCUCUGCUUGCGUUUCUGUGACUUGUGUAAGAGGCUUGGCUUCAGCAGGGAAGCGUGUAUUGCUGACCCGGGGUUGCAAACCGCAGAUUCCUUCAGCGUUGUGUCUGAGGAAGGGUUUGCUAAGGCAGAGAUAAUGAAUGUCUUUGGUCAAAGUACACAUGUGCAUGUUUGGGGCCAGGUACAGCUGUGUGUCACUGUCGUGGUAGGCCACCACAUCUGGAAUGUGUGUCUUGGUGUGGGUGUUGCUUUUCCACAUCCUGACACUGACAAUGUCUUUAGGUCUGUAGACUUGGCUUGACUCGCUGAUGAGUAGGUUCAGGAGCACAUUCACUUCUCUCUGUUUGGGGUUGACGUGCCGUAGGAAGGCACUAUCCAGAGAGUUGGCCAGGUGUAUUUGUAGCAGGUCAGCUGGCAUGGUGAUGGCAUAAGCCACUCCAGUUAACACAAGGCUUAAGGGUAUCAUGUAUGGUGGGGUUUUACUCGUGGUUAGGCCGUCAUUGGAGGAGCUAACCUCCCACAGCAUGUCUGUUGUUAACACUGUAAACAGCUGAGUCUGGGUAAAGUCCUUCUGGAAGACAGUAGGUUUCAAGGAGUUUACAGUCUGGUUCGCUGCAUUGACACUGGACAUACCAAAGUUAAACGUUCUGGCGACAGCAGCGGCUCUGAGCAAAGCUCCCGGGAACUGUUUUGAGUGGUGGUGGUGUCCACUUAACUCCAUU